CAGGGAGACAACAAAAUGUUUAUAUUAUUAUUUUGUCACCUUAGGUCGAUCGGUAUCUCACGUUCUUAAUUAAUUAAGAAUUUCAUUUCCUAAGUUUUUCUAGGUCACACCCAUUAUUUUUCCUGGGCCAUUAGCUCAGGUGGUUAGAGCGCACCCCUGAUAAGGGUGAGGUCCCUGGUUCAAGUCCAGGAUGGCCCAUAUCUCUAUGUUGGGGGUAUAGCUCAGUUGGUAGAGCGCCUGCUUUGCAAGCAGGAUGUCAGCGGUUCGAGUCCGCUUACCUCCACUGAUUACCACCUCUUCCAUAAUCUGUAGAAAGGAAAAUUUUUGAGUUGUGAUCAUAAUUCUGAACGAAUCUAGCUUCCUAAUGAAAUCAUUAAGAUGCUGGACUCAUUGAAUUAAUUUCAUUGUUUUCAGAGAACCUUGACAACUGCAUAGAUUAUUUUUAAAGACAAUAAGCAUCUUUAUGAUGCAGAUUUAUUAUUUGUGCGAAUGCAUUAAUAACAAUUCUAUUAAGCUGAUGCUUCAAUUUUGAAGUUAUU
Molecule: transfer RNA, 539 nt
Filed under: uncultured Prochlorococcus sp.
Lineage: Bacteria; Bacillati; Cyanobacteriota; Cyanophyceae; Synechococcales; Prochlorococcaceae
Description: partial 16S-23S ribosomal RNA intergenic spacer
Rfam family: tRNA (bases 211-283)
Source: RNAcentral